RNAcentral lists this unclassified non-coding RNA (1832 nucleotides) under Hevea brasiliensis (rubber tree). The record is from RNAcentral. Lineage: Eukaryota; Viridiplantae; Streptophyta; Magnoliopsida; Malpighiales; Euphorbiaceae.
GAAAUUGUCACAGAAAUAUCUUUCCAUAGCAGAGAAAUCCACCAUGCACCACAGAAUGGCCACACAGAAAUCUCCUACCAUUUCCCUCAUCUUCUUCUUCAGCAUCAUAAUCCUCCAUGCCCAAAUCCAAGCAAGCCCAAUCAAAACCAUAGUCGUUCUUGUGAUGGAAAAUCGUUCUUUUGAUCACAUGCUGGGUUGGAUGAAGAAGAUUAACCCAGAAAUCAAUGGUGUUGAUGGAAAUGAGUGGAACCCAUUGAACACAGGCGAUCCAAAUUCAGAGAAAUUGUUUUUCAAGAAUCAGGCAGAGUUUGUUGAUCCUGAUCCUGGCCAUUCUUUCCAAGCUAUAAGGGAGCAAAUAUUUGGGUCUAAUGACACCUCCAAGAAUCCUCCUCCCAUGAAUGGGUUUGCUCAGCAAGCUUUCUCUAUGGACCCCUCAGGAAACAUGUCUGGAGAUGUGAUGAAUGGGUUUGAUCCUGAUAAGGUUGUUGUUUAUAAAACUCUGGCUUCAGAAUUUGCAGUCGUUGACAGGUGGUUCGCAUCCGUUCCGACGUCUACACAACCGAAUCGGCUGUACGUCCACUCAGGAACGUCCGCCGGAGCCACCAGCAACAUUCCGGCAUUGCUAGUGAAAGGUUACCCGCAAAGGACCAUAUUCGAGAACCUGGACGACGGCGGAAUAUCUUGGGGGAUAUACUACCAGAAUAUUCCGGCGACAUUGUUCUAUAGGAAUCUAAGGAAGCUCAAAUACAUAGGCAAUUUUCACUUAUACAAUACCUUUAAAAUACAUGCACGACAAGGGAAGCUCCCAGGAUAUGUUGUGGUGGAGCAGCGGUACAUGGACACCAAGGCUGAGCCUGCUAAUGAUGAUCAUCCUUCCCAUGAUGUGUAUCAAGGCCAAAUGUUUGUCAAAGAGGUGUACGAGACACUAAGGGCUAGUCCACAGUGGAAUGAAACUCUAUUUGUGAUCACAUAUGAUGAGCAUGGAGGGUUCUAUGAUCAUGUGGCCACACCAGUAAGUGGGGUCCCCAGCCCAGAUGGGAUAGUAGGGCCAGAGCCAUUCUUGUUCAACUUUGAUAGGCUGGGAGUUAGGGUUCCCACCAUUUUGAUCUCACCUUGGAUAAACAAGGGUACUGUUGUUCAUGGCCCCAAUGGGUCACCAUUUCCGACUUCGGAAUAUGAACAUUCAUCCAUUCCGGCGACGGUGAAGAAGCUCUUCAACCUUUCUUCACCCUUCCUAACCAAGAGGGAUGAAUGGGCUGGAACCUUUGAGGGUGUUGUUCAGACCCUAACUGAACCCAGAACUGAUUGCCCAGUGCAACUACCAACUCCAGUCAAGAUCAGGCAAGGCGACGCCAAUGAAAACGCAACGGUUAGCGAAUUCCAGCAGGAGCUACUGCAGCUAGCAGCAGUGCUAAAAGGAGAUCACAUAUUUACAAGUUUCCCUGAAAAGACCGGGAAAAUGACAGUAAAGCAAGGAAAGGAAUAUAUGGAAGAUGCAGUGAAACGCUUCUUUGAAGCAGGACUCUAUGCCAAAAAAAUGGGAGUUGAUGAAGAACAAAUUGUUCAAAUGAGGCCAUCCCUCACUUCUAGAUCAUCUAAACCAACCAACAACCACCCAUAAGAACAUAAUGUGAAAUCUUUACAAAUGUAACCUCAGCACCCAUUUAGAAAUGUAAGCACAGCAACAGAAAGUAAAAGCAAAUAAUGGUUUCCCCAUAUCUCCUGCAAUAAAUGCCAGUGUAAAUACUGAAAACCAAGCCUAGCCAUGUAGGAAGAACGAAGAACAGUAUUUAAACCAAACAGUAAAACAAUAAGACCUCAUAAGAGUUCAC